RNAcentral lists this ribosomal RNA (253 nucleotides) under uncultured bacterium. Its description in RNAcentral is "partial 16S ribosomal RNA". It matches the Rfam family "Bacterial small subunit ribosomal RNA", at positions 524 to 776 of the family's 1533-position model. The record is from RNAcentral.
UACGUAAGUGGCAAGCGUUGUCCGGAUUUACUGGGCGUAAAGAGCGCGCAGGCGGUCGGAUAAGUCGAAUGUGAAAGCCCCCGGCUCAACUGGGGAGGGUCAUUCGAUACUGUUCGACUCGAAGGCAGGAGAGGGAAGUGGAAUUCCCGGUGUAGUGGUGAAAUGCGUAGAUAUCGGGAGGAACACCAGUGGCGAAGGCGAGCUGCUGGACCUCUUCUGACGCUGAGGCGCGAAAGCCAGGGGAGCAAACGGG